This is a long non-coding RNA of Dendrobium catenatum, 163 nucleotides long. RefSeq lists it as uncharacterized. The transcript is spliced from 2 exons. NCBI's taxonomy places the organism in Eukaryota, Viridiplantae, Streptophyta, Magnoliopsida, Asparagales, Orchidaceae. The record is from RefSeq and is a predicted model, not a curated record.
AAUGGAAGGGAGGAGUUGGUCUUAUACAUGAGAUGGUACAGGUUGGGGCUUUCCUAUACAUACUGAAUGUACCCCAACAACCUUCAGAGACGUUCUACCAGAGGUUUUCAAGCAAGAGGAUGAUGAUAAAUGUAUUACACACCCAUUUGUCGGUUAGCAUGGG